AUGCCUGGGCCCCGUGACCUCAAGCUCCUGCGCCAGCCUCGCCUUCCUGCACCACCUUGUCUCGGCCGUUCGACCCCAAGCCAUCCUCGCAUCACGGUCUUCAUCUUCCAAGGACGCCAAGACCUUUCGUGGAUGCGUCAAGUACCCUGCUGCCCUACGGUAUCGCCAAGAACGCGUUCCGCGAUGACCGGUGUCUUUGAAGAAUGCCACGUACCAUUUUGUCACACGCCCGAACGACUACCACACCGGAACGUCAAGUACAUGGAUAUGCCGAGUUCCUCUCCGAAUGUGUGUACGACUACCGUAGCACCGAAGACCUUGAAUGUCCGAACGAGUGCUGACCGAAAGGCCUAA
RNAcentral lists this ribosomal RNA (354 nucleotides) under Triticum aestivum (bread wheat). Its description in RNAcentral is "partial small subunit ribosomal RNA". Lineage: Eukaryota; Viridiplantae; Streptophyta; Magnoliopsida; Poales; Poaceae. The record is from RNAcentral.